Molecule: ribosomal RNA, 305 nt
Filed under: uncultured bacterium
Lineage: Bacteria
Description: bacterial SSU rRNA
Rfam family: Bacterial small subunit ribosomal RNA
Source: RNAcentral
AGUUCCCUACGGGGCGCAGCAGUGAGGAAUAUUGGUCAAUGGACGAGAGUCUGAACCAGCCAAGUAGCGUGAAGGAUGACUGCCCUAUGGGUUGUAAACUUCUUUUAUAAAGGAAUAAAGUGAGGCACGUGUGCCUUUUUGUAUGUACUUUAUGAAUAAGGAUCGGCUAACUCCGUGCCAGCAGCCGCGGUAAUACGGAGGAUCCGAGCGUUAUCCGGAUUUAUUGGGUUUAAAGGGAGCGUAGAUGGGUUGUUAAGUCAGUUGUGAAAGUUUGCGGCUCAACCGUAAAAUUGCAAUUGAUACUG